CCGGCGCACGGGUGCGUAACGCGUAUGCAACCUACCUUUCACAGGGGGAUAGCCCGAAGAAAUUUGGAUUAAUACCCCAUAAUAUUAUUGGAUGGCAUCAUUUGAUAAUUAAAACUGCGGUGGUGAAAGAUGGGCAUGCGUCCUAUUAGCUAGUUGGAGUGGUAACGGCACCCCAAGGCUACGAUAGGUAGGGGUCCUGAGAGGGAGAUCCCCCACACUGGUACUGAGACAGGGACCAGACUCCUACGGGAGGCAGCAGUGAGGAAUAUUGGUCAAUGGUCGGAAGACUGAACCAGCCAUGCCGCGUGCAGGAAGAAUGCCUUAUGGGUUGUAAACUGCUUUUAUAUGGGAAGAAUAAGGCGUACGUGUACGUUGAUGACGGUACCAUAUGAAUAAGCAUCGGCUAACUCCGUGCCAGCAGCCGCGGUAAUACGGAGGAUGCGAGCGUUAUUCGGAAUCAUUGGGUUUAAAGGGUCUGUAGGCGGGCUAUUAAGUCAGGGGUGAAAGGUUUCAGCUUAACUGAGAAAUUGCCUUUGAUACUGGUAGUCUUGAAUAUCUGUGAAGUUCUUGGAAUGUGUAGUGUAGCGGUGAAAUGCUUAGAUAUUACACAGAACACCGAUUGCGAAGGCAGGGGACUAACAGACAAUUGACGCUGAGAGACGAAAGCGUGGGGAGCGAACAGGAUUAGAUACCCUGGUAGUCCACGCUGUAAACGAUGGAUACUAGCUGUUUGGCGCAAGCUGAGUGGCUAAGCGAAAGUGAUAAGUAUCC
Molecule: ribosomal RNA, 771 nt
Filed under: uncultured bacterium
Lineage: Bacteria
Description: bacterial SSU rRNA
Rfam family: Bacterial small subunit ribosomal RNA
Source: RNAcentral